RNAcentral lists this long non-coding RNA (1407 nucleotides) under Homo sapiens (human). RNAcentral describes it as "HSALNT0074053". Lineage: Eukaryota; Metazoa; Chordata; Mammalia; Primates; Hominidae. The record is from RNAcentral.
CCGCACCACACCGCCUCAGGCUGCGCUCCCUGAAGCAGACUGUUCGGAAGCUUCAGAGGAAAGACUGGGGGGCGCUGCUGCUACUUUCUCGUCCCCGCCCCUCGCCUGGGUGAGGAGGGCUGCGGGGACGCGGCUUGCUGCACACCAACACCCACCUCCGCGCUGAACACCCCGGAGGAGGUCUGCAGGGUAGAGGUGCAAUGAUUACGGGAGUGGAAGAAGAGCCAUAAUUUUAAUUGCACGGAGGAAAAAGCUAGCGAGGCUGGAAAAGACCCCCAAACUCAAGGCCACUCUGGCGAGAGAGCCUGGAAACGCCCAAAAUACGCCGGGUCUGGACCCCGUGUUUAAAGGACACACGUUCAGCCUUCCUCUAGUCUCCCUUGCCUCCUUCCUCUCUGCUUUGCUCGGUGUGAAAAUGGACCCAGAGACUCGGAGCUUUGGCGAAAUUCCAGAGAGUCACGUGGGGAAAGGGAGAAGCGAGGAGGGAGGAGACUCUGUCAGUGGAACACAACGCGGUCUGGGAGCUGUGGGUCCAGCUGCGCCCCCAGAUGCCAAUGGCUGGGAAAGUAACAUCAGGACACGGCCGACUGGGGCGCGCACUUGAAGAGCAGAGGCCUUGAUUCCCCGCCAGGACUGACUGACGGCAGCUAUUUUUAUAGGACCGAAUAAAAAUAGCUGGUCCACGUUUAAUCGUUUUAUAAGGGAACAGUUGCAUCAGAGAGAUGCUGACUGGGUUCUGAUUGGCCCAGAGAAGAAACGUCUCGGGUCCCUCAAUUGAGUCGGGAUGGGCGAAACUGUUGGAGGGGAAGCAGUUGCAUGAGCUGUGCUGGCGGGGGUCCCACUUGUUUCCAGUCUUCACGAACACCAUGACGCGGGCCCACGUUCUAACGUGCACUGACGCCACUUGGAACAAUUCACUUUUCCGAAUAACUGGAAUAACUUGAAACUGGCAGGUCCCUGUCAGUGUUACUAUUCAGCCAGAACAAAGGAGAACCUCUGACAACCUGGCUCUGAAUCUUAAGUAUUUGGAGGACCCAGGGUUUGCACAUUUCGCCCUCAGUCUCUCUGUUGGGCUGUGGUCAUUCUAGGGACAGAGGUUGUAUCAUCUUUGUAUAAUUGAAGCACAUAGUAGGUGCUCUUUAAACAUUUGUUGAAAUAAUGGAUUAAGUGCCUGAGAGCAGCGGCCAUAUCAAGGGGAGCUGCGGGCCUUAACCUCCUCCCAAAAAAAGACCCCUCCCUUUUUAUUUAGAAAGUAGGGCCUGUGCGGUGGCUCACGCCUGUAAUCCCAGCACUUUGGGAGGCCAAGGCAGGCAGAUCACGACGUCAGGAGUUCGAGACCAGCCUGGCCAACAUGGUGAAACCCCAUUUCCACUAAAAAUACAAAAAUUAGCCACGUGUGGUGGCACA